UUAUUAACAAAUUCAUAAACAAAUAAAAUAUAGCAGGUUUAAUAAGUAGCAGGUUUCAACAGGUUCCCAACAUAGAAGUGAAGCAGCAUCGAAGGAUUAUUCCAAGUUGGAUGGGUGGUCGUUUUAGAAACAUGGAGAGUUUGGUGUUACACAGUGUGACAUAGAGAGGCACUGUAAGACACAGUUAUAGAGUUUAAUUGGAACAUAAGUUACUAAACACGCUCACUAGAGAGCGUAAAAGUCUGUGACGUAGAGAAGAUAAUAACGCAUAAACAUGAACGCAAAUUCUACUAUCUGGAAGCCGCGGCUAUUUUCUAAGAAUAUCGAUUAGAAAAGAAAUAUUGUUUAUCUUGCUUAAAACACCAAAUGAAAGUGACAACAGCCGUUCGAACGAUAGUUCGGAAGUCAAGCAUGAGUAUCAAUACGGAACAUACUACCUCAAUUUCCUCUUCUAGUAAUGAUGAAAAUGUUAAUUUGCUAUAUUUUCUUUUAAUGGAAUUUGACAAGUGGAAGUAAAAGGCAUCGGAUUAAUGAUUAUCUUGAAAUUAUCGAUUUGUGGACCGAACAAGAAUUUAAAGAGAAUUUAUGGUUAUCAAGACGUUCAGCAUUAUAUUUAAUUGAUAAGAAAUGUAUAAGAGAAAAAUAUUCCAUGACAGUU
Pogonomyrmex barbatus (red harvester ant) is the source of this 658-nucleotide long non-coding RNA. Lineage: Eukaryota; Metazoa; Arthropoda; Insecta; Hymenoptera; Formicidae. The record is from RefSeq and is a predicted model, not a curated record.